ACUGCAUCUCCACUAUUUCAGAACGACAUCGUGCAACAAUUCUGAAACUCUAGUUACCUCAUUGUGUGAUUAGCGAAGAAUAAUCUUCUUUGUUUUAUUGGGUGGAGGUGGGAUUGAACUUGAUGGUAAGAUGAACCAUUUUGAGCUCCACAACUGAGGAUAUAUAUGAAGUGUCUGAUCCGGCGUUAUCAUCAGAUCAUGCGCGCAUUUUCGAAGUAGAGGUCAGCCAUCAUCUUUCUGAUAAUGGAAGACAAAGGGUCUCCAUGGUUUUUGGAGAUACACGAUAUUUGUGGAAGGAGACGCAUGAAAGAUGCAUCAGGUUGGCUUCUGCUCUUUCUCAGUUGGGAAUUACCCGCGGCGACAUUGUGAGUUUCUCAUCAACUCAUCUAUAAUAUUUGAAUUCUGAUUUUAGUAAGAGAAAAAGGAUCUUCUUUUUUUUUUCUCUAAUUUUUUUUUUUGGGGGAGGGGGCUUUUGAAGGGGUGUAGUGAUUACACGGAUUUGAGUACUCUCUAAUAGAUUCUCUCUUCAUUUUUCAUCCUCAAUGUAUAUCUGAAUAUCUGGAUGUAUAACAUGUGUUUUCAUUUAUUAGGAAAGGAUAUGGUCAUUUUAAAUCUGACUAAUUCUAACCCUUAUUAAUAAAUGAAAACACGUGUCAUGCAUCUAGAUAUAUACUGUGGGAACUGAAGAGAGAAUCCAUUGAAAAGAAAUCAAGUCCAUGAUUCCACUAGUCUACAAAUUGAUAAAUUGAUGAGAUAAUGGAUUUGCGGCUACUAAAUUGAUGGAUUCAUUGGAGUUCAGUCUAGUGUGAGUUUCUUGAGUUCAGUCAAGUGUUUAAAACGCGUAUUUGGGACGGGCUAAGUGUUGUUGACCAUCUAUCCGGUAGCAUGAAGUGCGUGUCAUGGCAAACACCCGGUAUUUGGUUUUUUUUUUUUUUUUUUCAAUAAAAAAUUCCUAAUUUCUUUUUCA
This is a non-coding RNA of Coffea arabica (coffee), 967 nucleotides long. The record is from RefSeq and is a predicted model, not a curated record. NCBI's taxonomy places the organism in Eukaryota, Viridiplantae, Streptophyta, Magnoliopsida, Gentianales, Rubiaceae.